UACGGAGGGGGCAAGCGUUAUUCGGAAUUAUUGGGCGUAAAGGGCGCGUAGGCGGCUUGGUAAGUCAAAGGUGAAAUCCCUCGGCUCAACUGAGGAAUUGCCUUUGAAACUGCCUGGCUUGAGGCCGGGAGGGGGUAGCGGAAUUCCCAGUGUAGCGGUGAAAUGCGUAGAUACUGGGAGGAACACCAGUGGCGAAGGCGGCUACCUGGACCGGAACUGACGCUGAUGCGCGAAAGCGUGGGGAGCAAACAGG
RNAcentral lists this ribosomal RNA (253 nucleotides) under uncultured bacterium. Its description in RNAcentral is "partial 16S ribosomal RNA". It matches the Rfam family "Bacterial small subunit ribosomal RNA", at positions 524 to 776 of the family's 1533-position model. The record is from RNAcentral.